This 284-nucleotide unclassified non-coding RNA is filed under the name Zopfiella sp. Its description in RNAcentral is "partial contains 5.8S ribosomal RNA, internal transcribed spacer 2, and large subunit ribosomal RNA". The stretch from base 1 to 71 matches the Rfam family "5.8S ribosomal RNA", at positions 84 to 154 of the family's 154-position model. Lineage: Eukaryota; Fungi; Ascomycota; Sordariomycetes; Sordariales; Chaetomiaceae. The record is from RNAcentral.
GUGAAUCAUCGAAUCUUUGAACGCACAUUGCGCCCGCCAGUAUUCUGGCGGGCAUGCCUGUUCGAGCGUCAUUUCAACCUUCAAGCCCUGCUUGUGUUGGGGUCCUGCGGCUGCCCGCAGGCCCUGAAAACCAGUGGCGGGCUCGCUAGUCACACCGAGCGCAGUAGCACAUCUCGCUCAGGGCGUGCGGCGGGUUCUUGCCGUUAAACACCCCCCUUUCCACAGGUUGACCUCGGAUCAGGUAGGAAUACCCGCUGAACUUAAGCAUAUCAAUAAGCGGAGGA